Long non-coding RNA from Rattus rattus (black rat), 329 nucleotides. RefSeq lists it as uncharacterized. The record is from RefSeq and is a predicted model, not a curated record. The transcript has 3 exons. Lineage: Eukaryota; Metazoa; Chordata; Mammalia; Rodentia; Muridae.
UCCAGUUUCAUCAAGACUCUACCCAGGAAGAAUACAAACUCACUCUAAGGACGACCCUCCCUGCUCAAAUAAGCCCAUUUCCUGCCUUGCUGAAGAUUUAUAAACUGGACAUUGCUGAGGAAUUUCCAGGCAGGCUCAUCUAUAAUUUGCAAAAUGGUGAAUGAAUACAAGGAAAUUGUUCUUAUAAAAGGAUUAGAGGACAUGAAGGACUAUGCAUUUAGAACCAUCAAGUCCUUACUAAGAAAAGAACUAAACCUAACUAAAAAAAUGCAAGAUGAUUAUGACAGGAUUCAACUGGCUGACCUGUUGGAGGACAAGUUCCCCCAAGA